Molecule: small RNA, 687 nt
Filed under: Vigna angularis var. angularis
Lineage: Eukaryota; Viridiplantae; Streptophyta; Magnoliopsida; Fabales; Fabaceae
Description: Non-protein coding transcript
Source: RNAcentral
GAUAUCAACUGAAGAAAUUAUAAGAGUAGCUGGAGCAAGAUAUGUUCAGUAUUCUGCACAUUGGAAUGAUAGUUUUUGCAUCCCUAUGCACCCAUACGGAUUGGAUUUUGGAUGUUUGUCUGAGGAGGAAAAUAGAGACGUAGAACUUGCUCAGUUUCUCCUUGCUGCAGCUGAGAGGGUAGGUUGCCACCAGUUUGAACGUGCAAGCAGAUUACUUCUCCACUGUCAACUGAAUUCAUCACCCAAUAAUGGAAGCCCCGUUCAAAGAGUUAUCUUUCACUUCGCCCAAGCACUUCGAGAGAGAAUCGACAGAGGACUAGGAAGAACGACAGCGAAGGGAUCAGAGAAAAAAGAAGAAAGGGAGUGGAUUCAAAAGAUUGACACCAAUGUUGCCCUAACAUUCCAUCAAAAUAUUCCUUUCAAUCAAGUCAUGCAAUUCACUGGAAUACAAACUAUAGUGGAACAUGUUGCAUCUGAGACCAAAAUUCAUGUUAUUGAUUUCGAAACAAUAUGUGGGGUGCACAAUACAAUAUUGAUGCAAGCACUGACAGAACGCCAGGAUUGCAAAGUGCAACUUUUGAAGAUAACUGCACUUGCACUUAAUUCAUGCAGAAGCAUGAUACAAGAGACUGGAAAAAGGUUAGCUAGUUUUGCUGAAUCAUUGAACUUACCCUUUUUAUAUAAUGC